GAUGAACGCUGGCGGCGUGCCUAAUACAUGCAAGUCGAGCGAACAGACGAGAGUGCUUGCACUCUCUGACGUUAGCGGCGGACGGGUGAGUAACACGUGGGUAACCUACCUAUAAGACUGGGAUAACUUCGGGAAACCGGAGCUAAUACCGGAUAAUAUUUAGCUUCGCAUGAAGCAAUAGUGAAAGACGGUUCUGCUGUCACUUAUAGAUGGACCCGCGGUGUAUUAGCUAGUUGGUGAGGUAACGGCUCACCAAGGCAACGAUACAUAGCCGACCUGAGAGGGUGAUCGGCCACACUGGGACUGAGACACGGCCCAGACUCCUACGGGAGGCAGCAGUAGGGAAUCUUCCGCAAUGGACGAAAGUCUGACGGAGCAAUGCCGCGUGAGUGAAGGAGGUUUUCGGAUCGUAAAACUCUGUUGUAAGGGAAGAACAAGUACGUUAGUAACUGAACGUACCUUGACGGUACCUUACCAGAAAGCCACGGCUAACUACGUG
This 499-nucleotide ribosomal RNA is filed under the name uncultured bacterium. RNAcentral's name for it is "partial 16S ribosomal RNA". It matches the Rfam family "Bacterial small subunit ribosomal RNA", at positions 28 to 507 of the family's 1533-position model. The record is from RNAcentral.